AUGUCCUUGAAAUGCCUUUUUAUUUUUCUUGGUGUUCGAUGCCAUGCCGAAGAGAGGCGCUUUCAAUUUUACGCAUGCCAGCAAGAUUAUAUGUAACGUUAAGUAUACACAAUUAAGAAAGUGUGCAGAAAUUGAUUAAUUUCUCUCUUCUUACAAGUAUUUUUAAUCUUUUUGUUAGGACUUGGGAGUUUAGUGGAAGAGUGAAAGGUAAAAGCUGGAUAUUGUAGACACAACAAGUGCUCAAGAAUCAAGAUGCUUUUCUAGCUGGAGUAUCAUCAAAACAGUAAUGCAUUAAAACAGUCUAUCUAUACUCAAUCGUUCUUAAAAGGGUAGUGAAUGAACCACUUGAAAGUAUAUGAUAUCCUAUGUUCUUGGUUUAGAUGGGAAUAGCAUGGCAAAAGUGUUUUAUGAGCUUUGUACAGUGUAAUUGAGGGUGUCUUGGUGGCGUCUUUGUUCGGUCUUAGUUCAAUGGUUGGAUUGCUGAUGAAUCUAGGCGUUGUUUUGCCUAUUGUCUUUAAUGAUUCAAAGUAUAUUCACUAUGAGGGUGCUAAGGUUUAAACCAAGCGUCCGCUAAGUAUUGAAGAGGGCCACUUAAGGGAAAAAAUGAGCUAAAAGCUUUACGAAAAGAUUUUGAAGGCCAAUGAGCAAACUUUGAAGCUACGGUGUGAAAUAUUAU
RNAcentral lists this long non-coding RNA (676 nucleotides) under Helianthus annuus (common sunflower). Lineage: Eukaryota; Viridiplantae; Streptophyta; Magnoliopsida; Asterales; Asteraceae. The record is from RNAcentral.